GCCGGGUGUGGUGGUGCACGCCUGUAAUCCCAGCUACUCAGGAGGCUGAGGCAGAAGAAUCACUUGAACCCGGGAGAUGGAGGCUGCAGUGAGCAGAGGUCGCACCACUGCACUCCAGCCUGGGCAACAGAGUGAGACUCCGUCUCAA
This is an unclassified non-coding RNA of Macaca fascicularis (crab-eating macaque), 148 nucleotides long. It matches the Rfam family "Metazoan signal recognition particle RNA". Rfam says of the family: The signal recognition particle (SRP) is a universally conserved ribonucleoprotein. It is involved in the co-translational targeting of proteins to membranes. NCBI's taxonomy places the organism in Eukaryota, Metazoa, Chordata, Mammalia, Primates, Cercopithecidae. The record is from Ensembl.